RNAcentral lists this ribosomal RNA (468 nucleotides) under uncultured bacterium. Its description in RNAcentral is "partial 16S ribosomal RNA". It matches the Rfam family "Bacterial small subunit ribosomal RNA", at positions 28 to 507 of the family's 1533-position model. The record is from RNAcentral.
GACGAACGCUGGCGGCGUGCUUAACACAUGCAAGUCGAACGGAAAGGCCCUGCUUUUGUGGGGUGCUCGAGUGGCGAACGGGUGAGUAACACGUGAGUAACCUGCCCUUGACUUUGGGAUAACUUCAGGAAACUGGGGCUAAUACCGGAUAGGAGCUCCUGCUGCAUGGUGGGGGUUGGAAAGUUUCGGCGGUUGGGGAUGGACUCGCGGCUUAUCAGCUUGUUGGUUGGGUAGUGGCUUACCAAGGCUUUGACUGGUAGCCGGCCUGAGAGGGUGACCGGCCACAUUGGGACUGAGAUACGGCCCAGACUCCUAUGGGAGGCAGCAGUGGGGAAUAUUGCACAAUGGGCGGAAGCCUGAGGCAGCAACGCCGCGUGCGGGAUGACGGCCUUCGGGUUGUAAACCGCUUUCGCCUGUUACGAAGCGUGAGUGACGGUAAUGGGUAAAGAAGCACCGGCUAACUACGUG